This 197-nucleotide ribosomal RNA is filed under the name uncultured eubacterium C2a-5. Its description in RNAcentral is "partial 16S ribosomal RNA". The record is from RNAcentral.
UAUUACCGCGGCUGCUGGCACAGAGUUAGCCGGUGCUUAUUCUGAUGGUACCGUCAAGACUUCAGCUAUUAACUGAAGUUUUUUCUUUCCAUCCUAAAGUGCUUUACAACCCGAAGGCCUUCUUCACACACGCGGCAUUGCUGGAUCAGGCUUUCGCCCAUUGUCCAAUAUUCCCCACUGCUGCCUCCCGUAGGAGU